Molecule: long non-coding RNA, 224 nt
Filed under: Physcomitrium patens
Lineage: Eukaryota; Viridiplantae; Streptophyta; Bryopsida; Funariales; Funariaceae
Description: long non-coding RNA (PPAT_LNC009677)
Source: RNAcentral
GAAGGUUGUGACAAUCCUAAUGUCUCAUCUGGUAAGUUUGCAAAUAAAAGCUCUUGAGUUGAAUCUACUAGUUCUUGGUGCUCCAUCUCAUCACAAAUACACAAAAGCUACAAUGAAAGAUAAAAGGUAGAAUGUUAUUUUCUUUUGAUCUUGUUUCUUUUAUAGCAAAGGUUUGUUAUUCUUCAUCUUAGUUUUGAUGGAUGUUGUUGAUGAAAGACUUCAAC